AUGUCAUCAAUUUUUGUUGAAUGAAGCCAUGCGUAAGCGGAAGCGUGUUUCUUUAAUUUUUUUGUGUAUUUUAGUUUUUUUUCUUCGCGCUGUCCUCCUGUGGUAACGUUAAAAUGACACCAUGAAUCUUGCUUCGUUGCGACCGAGAUAAAAGAAUGGCCGAGUAACGACCACAAGGAUCAUUCGUCACGUGCGCGAUGAGAGGGAAGGUCGCAUGGUGGCGGCUCUCUGCGUGUCCAUAACAGCGUAGGCAUAGAAAGCUGGUGCUAGCUCUGCGUAUAGGCUGCCGGGAGUAUGGUGUGGCAUCACGCCCGUAGGUCAUUGAAGAUACAUUAUCCCUCAUAAGGGGAACGAACUGCGCUCGAAACCGUCCCCGGCAGAAGCAGCCAUAUGAUCACAGUUGAAUUCGUGCGAAAGCUGACACUUUCAGAGGGUGGUAAAGUCGAAAGUUGCGGAUUGCGAAAGCGUCGAUUUGGCAGCAGCGGCAGCCACCGGCACGCACGACAAGUGAAAUCUACUCUGUAUAUUUACAGCGUCCUUCGCCUGUGGACCAAAGUUCCUGGCCGCCGAGAGCAGCUCCGGCUGCGCUGGUGCAACUGAAAACCGAUCGUCGCCCGAAGUUUUUUUUUUUUUUUUUUUCCUUCGCUGUGGAAGCGAGACAGUUCUGGGGAAGGCAAAUCGCCACCUGCAUCACCGACGCCAGCGACAACUGACGAACAAGCAAGGACCGAGGGGGCGUCUCCCCGCAUUUGGCAGCAGCGGCAGCCACCGGCACGCACGACAAGUGAAAUCUACUCUGUAUAUUUACAGCGUCCUUCGCCUGUGGACCAAAGUUCCUGGCCGCCGAGAGCAGCUCCGGCUGCGCUGGUGCAAAUGAAAACCGAUCGUCGCCCGAAGUUUUUUUUUUUUUUUUCCUUCGCUGUGGAAGCGAGACAGUUCUGGGGAAGGCAAAUCGCCACCUGCAUCACCGACGCCAGCGACAACUGACGAACAAGCAAGGACCGAGGGGGCGUCUCCCCGCAUUUGGCAGCAGCGGCAGCCACCGGCACGCACGACAAGUGAAAUCUACUCUGUAUAUUUACAGGUUGGUCGUCUUUACUAAUAAGGAUUAGACUCUUUUUUUGUUGCCGACCCUGCCGCUGCUGCCACGAGUACAUUGUUUUCCUGAAGUGUAUUUGCCUUUGCACCGCACGACAUGUCGAGAUGUUGUACAUGCCGCUCGCUUGUGCCUGAAAAUGUGCCCUCUGCCAGCUGCUGUGAAUUGGCUGUUGGGGAGAGGGCAUCGCCGCGACGCCACGCCACCAGCGAGCCUCGACGGAGCAGAUUCGGGGACGCGACACCGCCGGGCGUGACGGGUGCCGCCGUCUCGCUCCCGGAAGCCGGCGCACAGGGCGCACCGUCACAAUACCACGAGGUCCGCUACAUUUGGUUGCAGCACACUCUUCACGUGGUCAAGAGCAAAAACCUCUGGCUUUCAAUAAAGAGCUUAUCU
Molecule: long non-coding RNA, 1492 nt
Organism: Dermacentor andersoni
Lineage: Eukaryota; Metazoa; Arthropoda; Arachnida; Ixodida; Ixodidae
Source: RefSeq, a predicted model, not a curated record